CUCCUCCCCGUCCUCCCCAGUCCCUCCCAGUCCUUUCCAGUGCCGCCAAAUCCUCUCCCAGUCCCUCCCAGUGCCCAUAAAUCCACUCCCAGUGCCCUCCAGAUCCUUUUCUAGUCCCUCCUAGUGCCCCCAAGUCUCCUCCCAGUCCCUCCCAGUCCUUCCCAGUUCCUCUAAAACCUCUGCCAGUCCUUCCCAGUGCCCAUAAAUCCACUCCCAGUGCCCCCAACUCCCUUCCCAGUCCCUCCCAGUGCCCCUAAGUCUCCUCCCAGUUCCUCCCAGUCUCUCCCAGUCCCUCCCAGUGCCCCCAAAUCUCCUCCCAGUCUCUCCCAGUGCCCCCAGCUCCACUCCCAGUACCCCCAAAUCACCUCCCAGUCUCUCCCAGUGCCCUCAAAUCCUCUCCCAGUCCCUCCUAGUGCCCAUAAAUCUCCUCCUAGUCCCUCCCAGUGCCCCCAAAUCUUCUCCCAGUCCAUCCCAGUCCUUCCCAGUGCCCCUAAAUCCUGUCCCAGUGCCCCCAACUCCCUUCCCAGCCCCUCCCAGCCCCUCCCAGUCCCCCCCAUCCCGCAGGGCCCGGGUCGCCGUGACUACGGGGAGCGUUUCCUGCUGGCUCUGGAGCAGCUCUGCUUCGAGUUCCUGCGGCGCCUGGACAGCGCCCUGCCCCCCCCCGACCUCCAGCAGCUGCAGGCGGUGGUGUGGAGCCACGCCCCUUCCGGGCCCCGCCCCCCGGCCCUGCCAAUCCUGCAGCGCUUCCUGGCCGACAUGGGACACGCCCCUUCCGCCCCGCCCACAGGUACAGUGCCCCGCCCCCUGAGCUCCGCCCGGGACCGGAAAUCUCCGUCAGAACGGU
Long non-coding RNA from Numida meleagris (helmeted guineafowl), 844 nucleotides. RefSeq lists it as uncharacterized. The transcript has 3 exons. The record is from RefSeq and is a predicted model, not a curated record. Lineage: Eukaryota; Metazoa; Chordata; Aves; Galliformes; Numididae.